UAAAUCAAAUAAUAACUGUCAUUCUUUUACCAACUUGCUGAUAUCCAUGAAGGUUCAUAGGGAUGUCUCACUACACGUAACCCUUUCAUUUAACAUUCUCAAUUACGGGCCAUCUCCAUACUUUAUCCGGUAUGAGUGCCAAUUUACCAAACCUUAAUAUCCCGUCCAAUAUGAGUACCAAUUUACCAAACCUCAAUACUCCGUCCAGUAUGAGGGUGAAGUGGGCCGUCCCCAUACCCCAUCCGGUAUGAAUGCCAAUUUUAC
Molecule: long non-coding RNA, 264 nt
Filed under: Carica papaya (papaya)
Lineage: Eukaryota; Viridiplantae; Streptophyta; Magnoliopsida; Brassicales; Caricaceae
Description: long non-coding RNA (CPAP_LNC009498)
Source: RNAcentral